AUGCGGGCGGCCCCCGCCUGGCUGGGGACCCUGCGGGGACCCAGCUGGGGCCCCUGUGACGCCCUGCGGGGACGAGACCCACGGGGUAUCGGUGUGGGCAGCAGCUGGCAGGCCGUGCCGUGCCAUCCCCUGCUGUGCCGUGCCCUUCCGAGCUGUGCCGUGCCGUCCUGGGGGCCACGAAGCCACCCUGAGCUGUGCUGUGCCGAGCGGUGCCACGCUGUGGAUCUGUGUGCGCCCAGCGUGGGGGUGGCAGAGCGGUGCCACCCCCUGUCCCCCUGCCCGGACAGGGCCCCGGCACAGCCCGUGUGCCCCGGCAGCAGCGGGGCCACCCCGCUCCCGGCAGAGCCGCGUCCUUGGCGGGGGCCCAGCAGCUGCACGGAGGGGAGGGGAGCGCAGAGAAAGGCAGCGCUUGUUCCCAGGGCCGGCCGGCGUGGAGGAAGCGGGUGGGUGGGAAGGAAGGCAGUGCCGGCCCGGCCAGGCCUUCCCCGGGGGACGGGGACGGGCGCCGGGGUGGAUCCCCGACCCCUUCCCCUGCGCCUCCCCGGCACGGCAGCAGCGAUGCUCGAGCGGCAGCACCGGGACGUGCCAGCGGCACGGGGGGCUUGGAGAGCCACGGGGCCCAUCCUGACCCAGGUAGGGCUGCAGGAAUGGGGCUGGGGCUGGGGCUGGCCCCCCCCACGGAGCUGUCUCUCCCACCCCCUGCACCCCUCCGAGGGACCCCAGACCCUCGCCAGCGCCUGGCUCGGUGCCACACACGCACUGGGGCAGGAGGAGGGGGCGUCGGGUCGUGCGGGGAGGGCAUGGCCCCAACACCCAGCCCUGCUCGUGCCGGCACGUCCCGGCAGGCCCUCGUGCAAGGGAGGCCGUCGUGCAGGGGGACGUGUGACACGGCGGGGCCCUCCUGCCCUCCCUGCCUUCCUGGCAUUGUCCGCCAGCCCCACACGGCCCGCGGAGCCCCUGCCCGUGGCGGGUGCCACGCUGGCUGGUGGGGGCCGGGGGCGGCGGGCGUGCGGUGACGGUGACGCCAGCUUCCUGACGCGGAGGCGGGCAGGGGGCGGCCGUGCCCGCGGGAAGGGCUGCGGGAAGGGCUGCAGCACGGCCGGGAAGGGGCUGCCAAGGGAGGAGCUGGAGCGGGGCCAGGGCUCCGGCACGGCGCUGGAGGCGCGGGGAGCGGGGAGGCCGUGGCCGUGUGGGGAGGGGGGCGGCCGGAUCCCGUCCGGGGCGCAGCGGGGCCGUGCCGAGCGCCCCGUGGCCGUGCCGCCCUCCAGCCCGUGCCGCCGCCUAAUCCAAACCACAUUGGUCGGCGCUUCCCGUUUCCUCCCUGGGAAGCGCACGCAGCCCCUUGCAUUGUUUUCGGCACGGCAGCCAGGAUGCGGCCCCGAGCGGGAGGCGAGAGCAGGACAGGGGGGCUGCGGACCCCCGGGGAGGGCAGCAGCCACCACGGCCGUGCAGGGAGCAGCAGCUGCCUUGGCUCCUGCUGCAGGCCCUGCCACAAGGACGUGGGCCCUCAGCCCGUUCCCGUGCCCCCCCUCACUCCUCCCUCUGCCUUCAGCGCCUUACAGUGAGCUCCGGGGCACAGGGGCGCGGUGCAGCUCCCAAACCCUGCUUUGA
This 1611-nucleotide long non-coding RNA is filed under the name Anas platyrhynchos platyrhynchos (common mallard). Its description in RNAcentral is "lncRNA (ENSAPLG00000025074.1)". The record is from RNAcentral. Lineage: Eukaryota; Metazoa; Chordata; Aves; Anseriformes; Anatidae.